Molecule: ribosomal RNA, 253 nt
Filed under: uncultured bacterium
Lineage: Bacteria
Description: partial 16S ribosomal RNA
Rfam family: Bacterial small subunit ribosomal RNA
Source: RNAcentral
UACGUAGGGUGCGAGCGUUAAUCGGAAUUACUGGGCGUAAAGCGUGCGUAGGCGGUUCGUUAAGUUCGUUGUGAAAGCCCCGGGCUCAACCUGGGAAUGGCAAUGGAAACUGGCGGGCUGGAGUAUGGCAGAGGGGGGUGGAAUUCCGCGUGUAGCAGUGAAAUGCGUAGAGAUGCGGAGGAACACCAGUGGCGAAGGCGGCUCACUGGCCCGAUACUGACGCUGAGGCACGAAAGCGUGGGGAGCAAACAGG